GACGAACGCUGGCGGCGUGCUUGACACAUGCAAGUCGAACGGAAAGGCCUGCUUUCCCUUGUGGAUUGCGGGUACUCGAGUGGCGAACGGGUGAGUAACACGUGAGUGAUCUGCCCCCAACUUGGGUAUAAGCCUGGGAAACUGGGUCUAAUUCCCGAUAGGACUGCAGGGUGGUGCCUGUGGUGGAAAACGAUUUUCUAGUGGUUGGGGAUGAGCUCGCGGCCUAUCAGCUUGUUGGUGGGGUAAUGGCCUACCAAGGCGGCGACGGGUAGCCGGCCUGAGAGGGUGGACGGCCACAUUGGGACUGAGAUACGGCCCAGACUCCUACGGGAGGCAGCAGUGGGGAAUAUUGCACAAUGGGCGGAAGCCUGAUGCAGCGACGCCGCGUGGGGGAUGACGGCCUUCGGGUUGUAAACUCCUUUCGACCGCGAGGAAGCCACCUGGUUGGAAGGGUGGUGACGGUAGUGGUAGAAGAAGCACCGGCUAACUACGUG
RNAcentral lists this ribosomal RNA (494 nucleotides) under uncultured bacterium. RNAcentral's name for it is "partial 16S ribosomal RNA". It matches the Rfam family "Bacterial small subunit ribosomal RNA", at positions 28 to 507 of the family's 1533-position model. The record is from RNAcentral.